GAAAGAUAACAAUAGACGUCUCUCUCAUAAAGAAUCCCAAGGAACAGAACUGAAUACUGUGCCACUGAAGAGCUCUUUAAAUGUUGAUUCAAUACUCUGUGGUCUACUUAUGAUCCCCAAACCAAUCUGUGACUCAUUCAACACUAAGAGGUUAUCUGUUCUGAAGGAGAAAAAGAGACAUUGUAAAUCAGGUGGCAAUCAGUGAUUCCAAACGGAAUUGAACAUAUUCUUUGUCCAAAUGAACAGAAGACGUUGGUAUGAAUUGUGUACUCUCCAUGAGAAGUAGAUACAGCCAAAGCUGGUUACCAGAGGGUGAGCACAAUGCAGCAGCAGCUCCCAAGUCAUCUUGGACGAGCGUCUCGAGUUAGGUCAUCAAGCUGAAUGAGGUCACCUACAUAGAGUUUAGACAACUGCAAAGUAGAAAAAUAUGACCCAAGACUGGCUUAAGACCUCAACACAGCUACAGAGCCAAUGGCAGCUGGAAACUCUUAAGGGCUAAACGCAAUGGCGAGAGUAAUUUUGACAUCAAAGGCAUCAGUUUGACAAAUGAAAAUCAAAUUGGAUGAACUUUAAUGCAAACAGCUGGCUGUGAUGCAACUAAAAGAAGCAGAUUUCCUGGAGUCAGCCAAACAGAUUUAUUAGAAUCCUCCAUACCUCCCAAGGAGAAUGUAAAUACAGAGUUUUUAAUUUUCAAGUUUUUCCAUUCCAAACAAUGGAAGGGAGAGCAUGGUGUUCGUGAUCAGCAAGAUGAAGGAUCCAGACUACUUCCAUCUUGUGGCUCUGCAGUCUUCCUAGCAACUUCCAAGAUGUCUAUGUUCCCAAAGACAAACAAGGACCGGAGUGAUUGUAUGUGUGAGAAUUUAAGGGACAGGCCUGGAGGUGGCAUGGAUUUCUUGCAUUAAUAUUCCAUUGGCUAGAACUCAAUUCACAUGUCCCCAUCCAAGUGCAGGGGAGGGGAAAGACUGUUUAUCUUGUGUGCCCAGGAAGAAAGAGAGUAUGUUGAAUCAUUCAUCAGUUCUGCCAUAUACUGAAUUAUUUUAUAACCUGAUAUUUUUAUUUAAAAAAUAUUUCAUUGAAUGAUGUAAUAACAUUCCUCUUGUAGAAUUUUUGAAGCAAGUAGUCAUCUGUUUAGCUGAACUGUCAACUUUUUAAAAUACUUAAAAACAAUUCUUUCUUAUAUUAUGAUUAUAUGUAAUUAGCCACAUGCAAAUCCAUGACACUUAUAUCUUUAUUGUGGAUUUUACUUUUUAUCACUAUAAUAUGACUCUACUCAUCUAUUCCUUUUGUCUUGGGUUCUAUUUUGCUUUAAAUAAAUGCUAUCACUCAUGCCUCCCUUUUGUUUCUAUUUGCUUGGCCAUUGUUAUAACUUUUCAGAAUCACUUUAUUUUACUUUUGUCUCUUAUAGAUUGUAUGUAGUUGGAUAU
This 1424-nucleotide long non-coding RNA is filed under the name Ovis aries (sheep). RNAcentral's name for it is "lncRNA (ENSOARG00000025770.1)". The record is from RNAcentral. Lineage: Eukaryota; Metazoa; Chordata; Mammalia; Artiodactyla; Bovidae.